AGUGAGUGUUGGUCUAGAACACA
This 23-nucleotide microRNA is filed under the name Daphnia pulex (common water flea). The record is from RNAcentral. Lineage: Eukaryota; Metazoa; Arthropoda; Branchiopoda; Diplostraca; Daphniidae.